UGUCAGUAGAACAUCUAAAUGAUCAUUGGCUAGUAACUCUGAUAUGCCGAUGGUCUUAGGUCGGAGGUUGAUCAAGUCGUUUGCUUGUUGAUCGAUAGUUGCCGACUGUAGAUCGGUCAAUCGUUUGUGAGUAGGUGCGAUAUGUUCAGUUGGCCGAUGUAGAGUCGGAGUCGGUGAAAUACAUUCAGUCGGCAUUUGAUCAUAGAGUCAGAGUCGGCCGUCGUAGAGUCGGAGUCGGCCGUUGUAGAGUCGG
RNAcentral lists this long non-coding RNA (253 nucleotides) under Elaeis guineensis (African oil palm). RNAcentral describes it as "long non-coding RNA (EGUI_LNC006489)". The record is from RNAcentral. Lineage: Eukaryota; Viridiplantae; Streptophyta; Magnoliopsida; Arecales; Arecaceae.